Long non-coding RNA from Panicum virgatum (switchgrass), 4245 nucleotides. RefSeq lists it as uncharacterized. The record is from RefSeq and is a predicted model, not a curated record. Lineage: Eukaryota; Viridiplantae; Streptophyta; Magnoliopsida; Poales; Poaceae. The transcript has 4 exons.
UCAGGAGCUAAUCGCAUUGGGCGAAGUAGUUUGUACAGAAAGCAGAGGUCUCUCUGCUGAUACACUUGCCUCUUUACCUUCAGUGAAGUACAAGACACAAAAUGUUCAGGAUGGCAACGCAGAGCAAUGUGUAAUUUGCCGUGUGGAAUUUGAGGAAGGUGAAUCUUUGAUUGCACUUCCCUGCAAGCACUCAUACCACCCUGAAUGCAUAAACCAGUGGCUGCAAAUAAAUAAGGUAUGCCCUAUGUGCAGCGCAGAAGUUUCAACCUCGGGCAACAAGGAGGCAGAAGUUUCAGCCUCGGGCAACAAGGAAGCAUGACCCACUCUCAUAUGGCCAUUUUCGGAACUUGAUGGGAAUAACUAGCAGCAUCAGUGUAGCAUCUGUAUUGUUGAAUCAGCAUGUAAGCGGGCCGGUCUGCAGAGUUCCUGCAGGCCGCCGCAACUGCCGCGUGCGCAGGCGGCUUGCUCGGCAGGAGCCCAUGUGCUAAAGAUUUUCAACCUGCGUUGGCCCGCUAGGCCUUGGCGGAGGAUGCAAGCACACCUGCAGGCCGCCGCAACCGCCGCAACGUGGUUGAUGCUAACAGGAAGUUCACACGCUAUGGUUUUCAGGCAGCAAGGGCCAGGUGAUCCACUGGGUGAACAAGCUGGGAAGACGAGCUCAGAGCUUCAGGGACCAUGGUGAGUUGAGUAGUAGCCUUAAUUCACAUCGUCUACACAGAGCUCAGAGCUCAGAGCUGGGAAGAACAAAUAUGCAAUACUCCACUGACGCAUGUUCAGUUACCAUCUACACUAAAAACAAACAUCAUUGACAUCGUCUACACAGCCUUAAUUCAUUGUCUACAAUGCUUGAUGAAUCCAAAAUUCUACUGUGGAUGGACCGUCCUUGUUGCACGCCUAACAAAAAAGCACAGGUAAUCAUCCUUCAUGUAUCCUUUGUUAACACAAGACCUGCAAUGGAAAUCAAUAUGUCAUGUUAGUAACAGAUGUUCUUUGCAAAUACCAAAUUUGCAAAUUAGAAUGGCAUCUAAGUUUACAACCUAAUAUCCCACAUUUAGCAUAGGUUGCAGAGGAUUUGCGGGUUCUGUAAGAUUGAUUUCAUCUCAUUAUAUCAAAGCAACAGCUACAGCCGCAAAUUAGCCUGCUGAAGUGUUCAGGGUUGACAUGCUAGCCCCUUUGCAUAUCAAUUAGCAAGGCCAAGGCCAGCCCACAUAAGUACUUAAGCUUUGGUUUUAGCCUGCUAUCCACUAGCUGCUAUACAGAACAUAAAUUCACUAUGAAACUUUAUAUAAGCAAUCAACCAGCCAGACAACAAGAUCAGUUGGCAACAAAUUGGUAAUUGGGGCAUCACUCUUUCUUACCUUCGCAUUCAUUUAUUAAGGAGAGAAAAAAAUGGAAUGUUUCUAUAACACUCUUAUUGUGUGAUCCCUUGCAGCAAAGACCAAAGAGACAUGAACUUCAUACGAAAAUUGGAUCACAAGCGAACUACUUUAACAUAGCGAAGGAAAUACCACUGCUACAUCAUAAUUCGAUCAGAAUUACUACUUUAACAUGCUAGAAACUAAGGUUGUGUCCACAAUCAGAAUUUGACUAUAAUGAAUAGCCAACUUUUUUCAUUAAAAGAACAUAUUAACCAAACCAAAUACAGGGAGGCAAGUUAAUGAUGGCAGUAUAUUGCAAAAAGGCAUGCCAAUGGUAUAUUUUUUUAAUCUGAAUUAUGGCUUGUUCAAUCUGAACCAGAACCAGGCAAAAACAGGACCAAUACAAGGGUGGCUUAUUCCCUGUAGUAACAUGUAAAUUUAAAAUUUUAGUGCAUGUUGUAUUCAGAAGCCAAGAGCCCAAGAUACUAACCUCACGAACUGCAGUGCCAACAAAAUCACCUUUUUCAUCAUCUAGCAUGUGAUUCCAAUACAGGACUUGUCGGGCUGCGUGAUGUCGACCUUGGCCCAAUCACCACAGGUGACACAACCAACUUCAUCAUUGGAUUGUCACUAGCGGAGACACUUGUUUGUUUCCCACCAUUGGAGGCUUGAACCGCUUUGCAGGCCUCCGUUUACUUAUUUCUGCACGCCUCUUUAAUGGAGAGCUUGUAGGAGACUUUUGUUGAUUUCCCAUUGCAGGAGACUUCACUCGUUUUUUAGCCGAUUGCUUCUUUUGACUCAUUUCUGCCCGCUUUGCAACCAUGUGCCUUUUUUGAUUUCCCAUAGCAGGAAGCUUUUUAUGCUUCGUUGCUGAAGAGCUGAUCAAAGGUGCGCCACCUGAGCCCCCAACUUCUUCAGGUACAGAUUGUGAUGCCAACUCCAUCUGCAAAGAAGAAAUUCAACAUUAUUUCAAGAUAAGAUAAGAAUGUCAUGUAUGACAAGCAAGAAAAAUCAACAGCGAAUAAAACUAACGAGGAACUCAUAGGAACAAUCUGAAUACAGACUAAAUCAUGUCAUCCACUGAAAGCAUCAAAUUUCAGUAUGCUAUUGAAAUGAUCUGGUCAAACUUGAAAAUUUGAGCUGUAAAAGAAUACACAUGCAUUUCUUCUAUGUCUAAAAUAAUUUGAGCUGUAAAUUUUAUUACUGGUAUGUCUAAAAUAUUUUGUCUAAAAUAUUUCAAAAAGAUCUUUAACUUUAACCUUACUAUCAGCUAGGGAGAACAAUCUAAAAGCUCAUUUACAUGUGACUAAGAGACAAAAAAAAACUAGUAACAAGGCAUACAAAUGGUUCUAGCAAUCAAUUCUGAACAUGAACUUAGGCACUCAAUUACUCAAUUAACAAAAUCAAAUUUGGUGGACCUAGACAGGGAAUGUCUAGCCCACGAAUCAGACUCAAUUAACAAACUAGUAACAAGGCAUACUAACAUGUAACCUUCACAUACAGGAAAGAAAUGAACUUUCAUUCAGUUAUUGUUUAGGUUACAGAACAAGUGUCUUGCUUCUGGACAUGUUUAUUAUUACAAAUAAACUCCAUUUCCUUCACAGUUUGAGAAUUUUGCUGAUGAAUCUUGUACCGGAUUAUAACCAAUAUGCUUACUCAGAGGCAAACUAUCAACAGGUUCAGAUUCGACCAAGGAUAAACAAAUUUAGAUUUAACCAAGUACAAACAAGUGUUCAAAUUUAACCAAGGAUAAAAAUAAAUUUUGCAAUCCAUAAUCUUUGUAGGAAACUCACAAGAACAGGCAAUAGGAAUAGAUGCCAGUAACGAGGCAUGUUAUUAUUUUACUCGAAAUUCAGGACAGCAUCAGCACCCAUCCAAGAAACUCAACAGGACGAACAGGGGUCAGGGAAAGGUUGCACGCUGCAACUUCCCAUCAAGUCUGAACCAUCAACACGUUCAGAUUUAGCCAAGGUCAAAACCAAAUUCAGAAAGGAUGAGCAAUGCGGUAAUCCACAAGAACACGAACAGGAAGCACAGAUAUAUAGAUCCCGACUACGAUAUGGACUGCAACUACGAUAUACACUGCAUCCCUGAUGGCAGAGGGAGGCCGGGAAGGAGAAGAUUCGGUGGCCUGGCGCAACAAGAACUGUGCGGGUCCGGAGGGCAUGGUGGCGCCAUGAAUCAGAGGCGGUCGUGCUUCGGCUUGCUGCGCACAGGACGGCGCGGGCACAGAUGCAAGGGUAGCCGCGCGGACUGCUGGGGAGGGAGGGCGACGCCGCGGAUUUUGCGGAGCUCUGCAUCGCCGGAGUGAGGGAGGGGGCGGCGCGGACUGCAGGAGGGAGGGAGGAGGCGGCACGGACAGCAGGAGGGAGGGGGGGCGGCGGCGCGCAAGGCGCGAUGCCGAUGCGUCUGCUCGUCGCCCCGAGCCCCCGAUGUACAGGGAAGGGAGAAGGAAGGGAAGGGAAGGGAAAAGGAAGGUGGGCUGGCCUGCAGAACCCACCAGGUUUGGCGGGAUGUAUAUUUAAGGCCCAUUUGUAAAAUGCUGAUUGUGGCAGGCGUUUGGAAAUGUGUUUUUGCAAGUGGCGGUUGCAGGCAACUAGGCCGGCCUGCACCUGCCUACAUCGAUUGUUGAAGCAAAAGCAGAAAAACAUAUUAGAACAUGAAAGGAUAUUGUGUUUCAACAAACAAACAAAAAAAAAAAACAUGCAAGGAAGUCAGGAAAUAUUUAAUCCUCGUUUCACUCUUUUUCUCCUGGCUCUGCUCGCUGAACUUUCUCUGCCUUGCCGAAAUGCUUUAUGUUCCCUUGAGACGCCUUGUGGCUGUUGUAUUAUCCAUAAAUGCACUGAUUAUAUUAUAUAUAUUAUUUAGUCAUUCUUUUUACUGGUCC